This is a long non-coding RNA of Crotalus tigris (Tiger rattlesnake), 1537 nucleotides long. RefSeq lists it as uncharacterized. The transcript has 3 exons. NCBI's taxonomy places the organism in Eukaryota, Metazoa, Chordata, Lepidosauria, Squamata, Viperidae. The record is from RefSeq and is a predicted model, not a curated record.
GAGAAGAUGACAAAGAAGAAAAAUAAGGUAUAAGAAUAGGUUAUUAUUGCCAAAUAAGGAAUUUGCAUCUCAGUAAGCCAAGCAGAGCAGUAACUCACUUUUUCUGGAAAAAGUAAGCUUUGAUUCACAACUGGAAAUAAAUUCUUUUCUAGAAGACACGAACAUUUUUUAAAAAAAAAUUGAUAUGAAAACUUGUAAUGUGAACUGCAUUAUUUUUUAUGAACUGGAAUGAAAAACAUUUUCUGUUUUAGAGUGAGAUAAAAUGUUACAGGUGUUAAUUAGAUACCUCCUAUGUAAGCAGUGCUAAUUAGAUACCUCCUAUGUAAACAGUGCUUUUAUGCAGUCCAUAUUUUGUCUGAUCAUCAGAAUACCAUCCCCACCUCCUCUCCUGCCUAUAAAAUCAUCUUUAUCCAUCCAUACCUAAGCGUAUAUGUGUAUAUACAUACAUAUAUAUAUACACAUAGAUAUUACUGGAAUACAUUGUGCAUUAGUGCAUUUAGCAAAAGUAGCAAAUUAUAAGUGAUAUACUGCCCCAAUCCUCCCUAACCAUGCACCUGUAUCUUUGGUUGUCCGACAUAACUGAUAAGAAGUACUGGGGCAUGAGUGCCAAUGGCAAGUCUGUUUUUUUUUCUAGGAAACCCAUUUUCCAUUCAAAGUAAAUUUCUAGGAAGCUAUUCUUCAAAAUCCUUAAAAGGCAUCUAUCGUAAUGUCUUGCAACAUGUGCAUGAAUUUCAUGGAUUAAUUGAAGAACGAAUUAAAAGGCAGACAGUUAAUCCAUUUCGCUCCCCCCCCUUUUUUUGAAGUGAUUUGACAGCCAUAGUCAUUUUCUGCAAGAAUCUGACACUGUUUACAUGCUAUUUGAACUGAUCACCAGGCUUUCUAUCCUAAACCCAGCAAGAUGUUUGAUCUUUUUUUUUCUUUUUGUAGAAACAUGAAGCUUACAGAAAAAAAAAAAAAAUCCUGUCCCUCUGAAAGACAAAAAAGAGAAGAGGUCUGAAAUUUGCUGUUCACUGAGGCUAACAAUGUACAGCAGUGACUAUUAGCACAAAAAAGAAAGAAAGAAAGAAAGAAAGAAAGAAAGAAAGAAAGAAAGAAAGAAAGAAAGAAAGAAAGAAAGAAAGAAAGCACUUGAUUAUGGAGAAUUCUUAUAGAUGACAAUAUUUCUAUUCAAUUGAUGACAACUGUACUGGAUAUUCUGGAUGGAAAAAGGAAGCAAAUCCUGUGAUGGCAUUGAGGACCAAAUUGCAUGCAGUCUGAAGGACACAAGAAAGAGAAAUGAAUGUAAAAUAUUAGUUGGUUGUGAGGGUUGAAAAGAUAGAAACAAAAGGGAAUAUGACAACGGGGGGGGGGGGCAGUAGAAAAUCUGGUGCUUUCCACAUCUUGGAGACUACUGUUUUCUUAAGUUCUAAGUAAAGGAUCCAGUGAGAAGAUCUUAUAUAAUUUUUCAUCUGAAAAUAUCUGGAAGAUAAUAGGUUGCAUUUCUUGUAAACAUGUUUGUAAUAAAGUCAUUGGGCAUUUACUUGUUCUUGGGAAGAGA